GCGGCUAUGGCGAAGAUGGUUAACGCACCGGAUUGUGGCUCCGGCACUCAAGGGUUCGAAUCUCUUUAGUCGCCCCA
This 77-nucleotide transfer RNA is filed under the name bacterium. Its description in RNAcentral is "tRNA-His". It matches the Rfam family "tRNA". Rfam says of the family: Transfer RNA (tRNA) molecules are approximately 80 nucleotides in length. The record is from RNAcentral.